RNAcentral lists this transfer RNA (69 nucleotides) under Marmota monax (woodchuck). RNAcentral describes it as "tRNA.Ser". Lineage: Eukaryota; Metazoa; Chordata; Mammalia; Rodentia; Sciuridae. The record is from RNAcentral.
GGAGUUAUGACUCAGUGGUAGAGCGCUUGCCUUGAAUGUAUGAAGCCCUGUGUUCGGUCCUCAGUACCA